GGGAAUGUAGUUUAGUGGUAGAAUGCUUGUCUAGCAUGCAUGAAGCCCUGGGUUUGAUUCCUCAGUACCA
Molecule: transfer RNA, 70 nt
Filed under: Dipodomys ordii (Ord's kangaroo rat)
Lineage: Eukaryota; Metazoa; Chordata; Mammalia; Rodentia; Heteromyidae
Rfam family: tRNA
About the family: Transfer RNA (tRNA) molecules are approximately 80 nucleotides in length. Their secondary structure includes four short double-helical elements and three loops (D, anti-codon, and T loops).
Source: Rfam by way of RNAcentral